Long non-coding RNA from Mauremys mutica (yellowpond turtle), 510 nucleotides. RefSeq lists it as uncharacterized. The transcript is spliced from 4 exons. The record is from RefSeq and is a predicted model, not a curated record. NCBI's taxonomy places the organism in Eukaryota, Metazoa, Chordata, Testudines, Geoemydidae.
GGGCUGGGGCAGCACUUGGCUACACAGGAUCAGGGAGCCUGAGCAAGGAGGAGGCCCCUGGGGCAGGCAGAAGGUGGUCUGUGGAUAGUUCCCUCCAAGGUGCACGCAUGGGUGGCUGUACAUCUAAUUAGUGGAGCCGAGCAGGUGUGGUGCCUGGACUAAUUAGGUGCCUGGACUCUGGAGAAGACACACAUGUAAGGGUGCUCUUUCCAGACCUGCAAGAGGGUGCUUCUGAGACUGCAGCAUAAGCUGGAACUGAGCAAGCCACCAGAAGGCUGUGGGACACUUUCAUGAUGGAAAACGCAGCAGGAGUCUCUGCAUAUCAGAGAGCUCUGACUGCAAAUCUGCCUUCUCCUUCCACCGCCCACCUUUUGAUGUUUUGGAGGUGGCUCUCUCAUCCAGUCAAUGUCCUGCAGUUGGCUGGUCUGACAAACAACAGAAAGUCCAUCAGCCCAGUGAGAGGCUGACAUUCCUGAAGCCGAGAGACAUGAAUGGAGGUGGACAGGUAUA